Molecule: long non-coding RNA, 883 nt
Organism: Scleropages formosus (Asian bonytongue)
Lineage: Eukaryota; Metazoa; Chordata; Actinopteri; Osteoglossiformes; Osteoglossidae
Source: Ensembl
GGAGCGCGAUGUUUGCGGAGUCGGUUUGUUUCCAUUUCCAGUUGAAACAUUGUAACUCACGCGGCACCACUUGUAUCAACUCUCUCUCUCUCACACACACGCAGUUCCUACAUCCAGCCUCCACUAACACGAUUCUGCAGCGAAACAAUAACAACAAUGCAUAUAACAGCGACAAUAAUAAAAACUCACCCAUAUCCGAGGCUCCGAUGACCGAACGCGUCUUCUGGGCUCCGAUCCCCGUUAUUUGAAAUCCAUGUAUCUACAGUGACAGCAACACUGACAGCAACACUGACACUGUCAUCAUCGUCACCAUCAUCACCAGCACCAUCUGGAAGGACAUCCUCCGACAGAUCUGUCACAAUCAACGAGCUUUUCUCAAAAAAAAAAAAUUAAUAAAUAUAAUUUAAAAAAAAGAGUGGGAAAAGCGGGAAAAAUGGCGUCUGUUGUCGGGCUUCUGAAUUUAAUCACGGGGGAGGGGGCAAAAAUCACGUUUGAUUUGGUGAUGAGUGCGAAUGCGGGCAGGUCCCCGAGAGGAGGUGCGCGUCCCGGUCCAGGUGCUCCAGCCCAGGUGGUUCCGCACCGCGCAGUCGGAGUUACUGAGCGCGCACUCACUCCAUCCCCAUGUCGCCGCGUUUCUGAUGAGUCCUGCAGCAGUUUUCGAUUGGCGCUGUUUAUCCCGUGAGUCCUGUGGAUCUGUCUGGCAGAAUCUAAUCACACCCAGCAAAUUCAUCACUGCACCCCCAUUUAGGGAAAAGACACUGGAAAAGAGGAGUAUCCGUCCGUCUCCAGGGCCGCUGAGCGCGUCUCUCCUGUAGCGAGACUAAGCCGCGCGCUCUUCCUCGAGCCAGCGUUCACCAUCGGCGCUGCUGGAAAUGUUUCUCAU